This 729-nucleotide non-coding RNA is filed under the name Pongo abelii (Sumatran orangutan). Lineage: Eukaryota; Metazoa; Chordata; Mammalia; Primates; Hominidae. The record is from RNAcentral.
AGUCUGGUGGUGAAUCCUCCAUAGUCUGGGACAGGCAGGGGAGCCCAGGGGCAUGUUGGAUAUGAAUAUGUCUUCAGCCUUCAAGUUACCAUUGGCCAGAGGGAAGAGUAGCCCCAAACUCUGAAGAGUGCUGGCAAGGCUCCCCAUCUUCCCCUCCCUAGCCCCCACAGGAACUUCACCGUAUGGCUUGGCAUUUUUUUUUUUUUUUUUGAGACGGAGUCUCACUCUGUCACCCAGGCUGGAGUGCAGUGGCGUGAUCUCGGCUUACUGCAAGCUCCGCCUCCCGGGUUCACGCCAUUCUCCUGCCUCAGCCUCCUGAGUACCUGGGACUACAGGCGCCCGCCACCACGCCCGGCUAAUUUUUUGUAUUUUUAGUAGAGAUGGGGUUUCACCACGUUAGCCAGGAUGGUCUCGAUCUCCUGACGUGAUCCACCCGCCUCAGCCUCCCAAAGUGCUGGGAUUACAGGCGUGAGCCACCGCGCCUGGCCUGGCUUGGCAUCUUUAGGGCAGAUCUCAGUAUGCCUUGCAUUCCAAUUCACCUCCAGAAUCCCAGCACUUCCUCCAAGGAGUUGGAAAAAGCUCAUGAUGACUUCAGCGAAGAAUUGCCAAAUCUAGAAAUUAAAAAUCCAACGUAUUGAUCUCCUGGUGGGCGCCAAAUCGUCCACCGCGCUCCGCAGGCCAACUGCGAGCCGGCGCGUCCGCGUCUCUGCAGAUGGGAGACUCACCUGG